UUUGACACAGAAACCUAAAAGAAAAAUGAAGAGAUUAUUCGGGCUUCUGCAGCCUUGAGUCAGAAAUUUAAAACAUGGGACUCGGGGUAAGUUUGUUGUUACAGCAUUUGCCUUGUAGCCCUGGGGAUCUGGGUUUUAUCCCUGUAGCCAGUGAAGACACCAAGAGCGGUGGUAUGUGCUUGUAAUCUCUGCCCUGAUGUAGAGGCAGAUGUCUUCCUGAGGAUGCAGUCCCCAGCCAGCCUGCCUAGCCUACUGGCCAAGCAUUGGGCCAAUAAGAUAACCUUGUUCCAAGCAGCCACUUUGGGACACUGUGGCAGUAUCUCCUGCAGCAGAAAGCACACAGUAGGUAUGACAGCACACUUCUGAAUUCUGAGUGUGCUGGCCACGGCAGAAUCUGGAACCAGAGAAGUAGCCCCAGGCAGGUGAGAUGCCCUGGGACCACUUGAAGAUGAACCCUAGUACAUGGAUGCAUUGAUCAGCUGACCCAGUAGCCUCCUGGUCUGACUAGAGGAAAGAGUGAUUUUGGCUCAUGGGUAAUUUGAGUGAGAACAGCCCCUGUAGACUCAUAUAUCUGAAUGCCUGGUCUCCAGUGGAACUGUUUGGGAAGAGUUAGGAGGCGUGGCCUUGUUAGAAGGGGUGUGUCCCAGGGAGUGGGCUUUUGGAAGUUUCGCAAGUCUGCUCCAUUCCCAGUUAGCUCUUUCUCUCUCUGCCGGUUGUUGUCUCAGUGUGUGUGUGUGUGUGUGUGUGUGUGUGUGUGUGUGUGUGUGUGUGUGAUUGGCUUGGAGCUCACCUGUUAUGCUAGGCUGGUUGGUCAGCAAGUCCCAGGAACCCUCUGCCCAGCCCUCUCCAGUGCUGGGGUUAAAGGGCAUACCACCACGUUGGGUUUUGAAUGUGGGUUAAGGAGGUGCCACUUAGUCCUUGUGCUUGAGGGGCAUGGAUUUUGCAGAGCAGGCUCUCUCCCCAGCCUCAUCUUGCAAUAACACAGAUGUCCAUUUCUAUGGUGGUGUGAUGGUUAGCUUUGGCUGUCUGUCUGACUGGAGUUAGAACCAUUAGAAGACAGUCCAAAGGAUUUCCACUGGGGUUUAACCAUGGAGGUAAGGCUCUUUCUAAUAUCAGAGGCACCAUGGGCUUGGGGCUCAGACUGAAAAGAGGAGAAGGUAGGAGGAGCCUGAUGAGCACUAACACUCAUCUCUGCUUCCAACUGCAGAUCCAGUAUGAGCAGCCGCUCCGUGCUCCCACUGCCGUGCCUUUCUGCCUGACACACUGUGUUUAUUUAUUUAUUUAUUUAGUCAUGGUAAAGGGGGGACGUCCCAGGGAACAACUCCUCAUCAAGCCUCUGGCCGUUUUCUGAUGCUUAAACAGCAGCAGAGAAUGGUAUCAUUAAAUUGUGUCUCUGUAGUGAUAUUUUCUAGCCAAAGCCAAGGUCAAGGUGGCUAAGAGAUAACAAAAUAAUCAGAUUCAUCCAAACCUUACAGAUCCUGUGACCCUAGAAAGGAAUAGAUGGUAGCCUCCUAGAGCCUGUCUUGUGGCCUCCAUAAGCACUUGUGUGCAUGUGCAUAUGAAUGUAUGCACAUGCACACACACACAGAGGCGGGAGGGGAAGAGACAGACAGACGCAGAGACCAAGAGAGAGAGAGAGACAGAGAGUGAGGAACUGGGCAUUUAGAGCCCAGUGACAGAGCUGGUCUGCACACUAUUGUAGCUUCAUCCUCAGUACCACAAGAGGCACCAGGACAUUCCUAGCAACAUUUUCCCAGUCACCUAAAACUGGAAGUUAUUAUAGUAUCCAUCCAAAGAUGGAAGUGGAAUAUGGGUAAUACAAGAAUGAAUAUGGCCUUUAGGUUUUUUACACUCAGCUCACUAGCCCACUUCCAUGAUCACAAAUGUGUCCUCCUUUUUAAUAAACUGUAUUUAUUCAUUCCUAAAACAAACAAACAAAAAUGAACACGGACGGAAGAACAUGGGGGUGAAUUUCAAACCACAAUAGGUAAUUGAAGGAAUUUCAUGAGAAACAGUGCAGACUGCUUAACUCCACUUACCCUUCCUAACAGGCCAGACUCGCGCUGGCGGUUAGUGACUGUCCUUGCUGAGAGCAGUGGUAUAGUGCCUGCACAAGGGGCAUCUGGGAGGCUUGGGCCUGUUUUGUCUUGCUGCCCAAAUGUUAACAGCUCAUGGAAUUCCACUCUUGCACGGUGGACAGUUCUGUUCACGUCUUGGAUCUCAAUAGAAUUCAAAUGAACAAAGAACCAAUGCAGACCCUGGGGACCGGCCUUACCAAACCCAGGUGUUCUGAAAUAGUUUGCAUUCAACUGCUGCAGGAGCUAGUGAACUGUGGGAUUCUGGUAAAUGGAAGUGUGUGUCUGAUGUGGUCACUACUGUGGAUAUCCAUUCUGCCCAGACAGUCUUCUAAGCAAAGGUACCCGGGCCACAGUAGGGGACAGCCAGAUCAGCUAUGGAGUUUGGUGAUCUUUUUACUUAGGCAGGCAUUGCGGAAACAUGAAGCCCCUUCUGUUUUGUGCUUGGGUUAUCCUGUAUGUUCUCAAUCUUACUAUCUCAGAAGAAACAUAAAACUUCUAUGUGUGGAACCUGCAUUAAGUAACUAAGCCUCAGCACCAGACCGUGUCCCAGAUCGAUACUCUUACCUCUUCCAGACAGUCGAACGCCAUCAUUGAUGGCAUUUUUGUUUCUAUAGGGUUUCUCCUGGCCCACUAUCUUCCCGGUAAAUGGUGCGUAGACCACAGCUCCAUCGGAGCACAGGACGUCCACUCCUGGGUGAUGCCUUUGGGUUCUAGAAGACCCCUUCCUUGAAGCAGAAUUUGAAAGCUGCUCCAAACACAGCCAUUGCUGCACACAGCACUGGCUUCCAGUCUGUCAGAGGGAGGUCACCGUGGGUCCUCUAGGAAACACAGGACUCAGACAAUUCGAAAAGAGAGGAACCAGCAGCCGUUUGUGAUCCUUCAUACCUUUGAGCAGAGUACUGCCCACAGCCAUAGCUGUCACAUGUCCGGAUCUCGUUGGAAGAUUUGCUGGCACAGAUGUUAGCCCAUGGUCCUGCCAGGGCUGCAGAGGAGAAAUAUGAGAGUCAUGGGCAGCCACAGCCUGUGUCUCUCCUGUAUGUCUCCCCAGGACACGGGGUCUAAUCCCCCCUCAUUUGGUUAGUUUCUCCUAUGGAUAGCUGAUUCAGAUAUACAACACAGUCCCCUGGCUAUGUAAUUCUGUGGCAUAUAAAAUACUUAUUUAUAAGCAUCAA
Long non-coding RNA from Mastomys coucha (southern multimammate mouse), 3250 nucleotides. RefSeq lists it as uncharacterized. The record is from RefSeq and is a predicted model, not a curated record. The transcript is spliced from 2 exons. NCBI's taxonomy places the organism in Eukaryota, Metazoa, Chordata, Mammalia, Rodentia, Muridae.